Mauremys reevesii (Reeves's turtle) is the source of this 192-nucleotide long non-coding RNA. RefSeq lists it as uncharacterized. The transcript has 3 exons. Lineage: Eukaryota; Metazoa; Chordata; Testudines; Geoemydidae. The record is from RefSeq and is a predicted model, not a curated record.
CAACCCAGCAGCUGGUGGCCUCCAUGUCCCAAGCUGCACCAGGUACCAAAGAGCUGAUAGACUCAAAGGUCUGACUCAUAUUUGAGGAGAAAGUGAUAACCAAGGGCAGGAAGACAGUUAUUUUGCAUUGAAAUCAAUGGGAACAGCACACCAAAUGUGGGCACAGAGUGGAUGAAAGAGUUAGCAAAGCAC